This 425-nucleotide ribosomal RNA is filed under the name uncultured bacterium. Its description in RNAcentral is "partial 16S ribosomal RNA". It matches the Rfam family "Bacterial small subunit ribosomal RNA", at positions 354 to 796 of the family's 1533-position model. The record is from RNAcentral.
GUGGGGAAUCUUAGACAAUGGGCGCAAGCCUGAUCUAGCCAUGCCGCGUGAUCGAUGAAGGCCUUAGGGUUGUAAAGAUCUUUCAGCUGGGAAGAUAAUGACUGUACCAGCAGAAGAAGCCCCGGCUAACUCCGUGCCAGCAGCCGCGGUAAUACGGAGGGGGCUAGCGUUAUUUGGAAUUACUGGGCGUAAAGCGCACGUAGGCGGAUUGGAAAGUCAGAGGUGAAAUCCCAGGGCUCAACCUUGGAACUGCCUUUGAAACUCCCAGUCUUGAGGUCGAGAGAGGUGAGUGGAAGUCCGAGUGUAGAGGUGAAAUUCGUAGAUAUUCGGAGGAACACCAGUGGCGAAGGCGGCUCACUGGCUCGAUACUGACGCUGAGGUGCGAAAGCGUGGGGAGCAAACAGGAUUAGAUACCCUAGUAGUCC